RNAcentral lists this small nucleolar RNA (118 nucleotides) under Sorex araneus (European shrew). Its description in RNAcentral is "Small Cajal body specific RNA 11 (ENSSARG00000018748.1)". It matches the Rfam family "Small Cajal body specific RNA 11". Rfam says of the family: scaRNAs are a specific class of small nuclear RNAs which localise to the Cajal bodies and guide the modification of RNA polymerase II transcribed spliceosomal RNAs U1, U2, U4, U5 and U12. ACA57 belongs to the H/ACA box class of guide RNAs as it has the predicted hairpin-hinge-hairpin-tail structure, conserved H/ACA-box motifs and is found associated with GAR1. The record is from RNAcentral. Lineage: Eukaryota; Metazoa; Chordata; Mammalia; Eulipotyphla; Soricidae.
GGGGCCUGGCCUGUGCGUAACUCUAACAGCGGAGAAGGCAGGCACACAGCAACCUCCCUCUCCAUUUAGGAGGGCCAUCCUAAGCAUAUGGAUAGCUCUUAAGGCAUGAGAAGACAAU